Molecule: transfer RNA, 87 nt
Filed under: Poecilia formosa (Amazon molly)
Lineage: Eukaryota; Metazoa; Chordata; Actinopteri; Cyprinodontiformes; Poeciliidae
Rfam family: tRNA
About the family: Transfer RNA (tRNA) molecules are approximately 80 nucleotides in length. Their secondary structure includes four short double-helical elements and three loops (D, anti-codon, and T loops).
Source: Rfam by way of RNAcentral
GGCUCUGUGGCGCAAUGGAUAGCGCAUUGGACUUCUAGAGGGGAUGAAGUGAUUCAAAGGUUGUAGGUUCAAGUCCCACCAGAGUCA